UUUCAGAAAUGUGUUGGGGAUUUAGCUCAGCGGCUCAAGCACUUGUCUGCUCCACUGGCCAAGGCCACAUAUAUAUCAGCUCCAUCUCAAAGCUAAUUCAGGACCGAGGCUGCUUGGUGGAAAGCAAAGCACAGCUAAUCCAACACACCGCACAGGAAAAAGUCUGGAAACAGCCUAGACGUCUGGUGGAGGACAGAUUACCCAAUGAAGUACUUGACAGCUCUCGUGAGGAAUGAGGAGAAUCUCUGUGCAGUGACCUGCAGUGAAGGAACUUUCUGGACUCUAAGAGACUGGAGAGCAAUUUUCUCCUGGAUGUGUUGGUGAUUUCUACAUUUUAGUCUGCAGGUGGACCCUUUGAGCUGUCUUAGACUGAUUGAUGCUUUUAAAAUGAAGAAUCUGUUUGGCUUUAUUAUUUUCAUGGCAGUUUCUUAGGCUUAUCUAAAUAAACAUUUCCAUAUUC
Cavia porcellus (domestic guinea pig) is the source of this 460-nucleotide long non-coding RNA. RefSeq lists it as uncharacterized. The record is from RefSeq and is a predicted model, not a curated record. The transcript has 4 exons. Lineage: Eukaryota; Metazoa; Chordata; Mammalia; Rodentia; Caviidae.